AUCUAGAUAUCAUGUAUGCCUCUUUGAUGGAUUUAGGUUAAGUCACCUGCUGGAGCAGCUUGAGGCCAGGCUGAUGAUACAGAAAACGAAGCAAACAAAUUUCAUCGAAUCAAGAACUAUCUUCAUGCCAAGUUAUCAGAGCAGUAAAGAAAUGCCAAUGAGAUGGUACGAAUUGUCCAUUGCAUGCAUGGUGUUGUUACUUUGUUCCUCAUAAGGGUCUGAUUUGCUCUGUUUUUUCACAAGGGUCUGAUUUCAGAGCACACAAGUCAUCCCAUGCAUUGUCUUUCAGGGGCUAACAAUUUGGUACCAAUUGAAAUUACUCUGAAGUUUGCAAACAAGAUUAAGGCGAAUGAGAGUUUUUCUGCAUACUUAGUACUUCCUGUGUUGCCCGAGGAUAAGCCAACUGGUGCUCCUACACAAAGAAUUCUUUACUCGCAGAUUUUUCCCGAUAGAGCACACCCAAUUUUUCACUUAUAUUGUAGAACAAAACAACACAAAUGAUCGAGACAAUAUAUAGGGCCUUGUUAGGUCUUUAUGAUAUAUAUGAGCCUCAUGAUUAUUUGAACUUUAUUUGUCUUGGCAAUACUGAUGUUGAUGACAGCCCUAGCACAGCCUUAGGUGCAAAUCUCGAUAUACAUGUAUUAUUGGAUCGAAGGGCAUCUCCAAAUAAAUGCUCAGUGUACAAAUAGAAAGCAAACUAAUAUGGUUGUGUACAUGUGUUCCA
Long non-coding RNA from Brachypodium distachyon (stiff brome), 724 nucleotides. RefSeq lists it as uncharacterized. Lineage: Eukaryota; Viridiplantae; Streptophyta; Magnoliopsida; Poales; Poaceae. The transcript is spliced from 2 exons. The record is from RefSeq and is a predicted model, not a curated record.